Molecule: ribosomal RNA, 253 nt
Filed under: uncultured bacterium
Lineage: Bacteria
Description: partial 16S ribosomal RNA
Rfam family: Bacterial small subunit ribosomal RNA
Source: RNAcentral
UACAGAGGGUGCAAGCGUUAAUCGGAUUUACUGGGCGUAAAGCGUGCGUAGGCGGCUCGCUAAGUCGGUUGUGAAAUCCCUGGGCUUAACCUGGGAACUGCAGUCGAUACUGGCGGACUAGAGUACGGUAGAGGGUGGCGGAACUCCGGGUGUAGCGGUGAAAUGCGUAGAUAUCCGGAAGAACACCGAUGGCGAAGGCAACCACCUGGGCCUGUACUGACGCUGAGGUACGAAAGCGUGGGGAGCAAACAGG